CCUUUUUUCCUCCCCCUCCUUCAACCCAGCAAGCUCCCAGGGGCGCAUGCGCAGUGACAGCCUCCCAUCUUUCUCCCAGCCAGAACCAGAGCCUCAGCAGCAGCUGAUGAUGAAGAAGAGAGGGAAGGGGGAGACUGGGGGGACCUUUUAUUUAUAUUGUUAAAGGGACAGAGCACUAAUUCCACCUUGAAUUGGUUUGCGGGGAGGGCUUGGCCUGAGGAGACUGAGUUUCUCCCCCACCCUCAGCCUAGCUAGAGGAUCCCAGAGAGAUACAGUGAGAGCAGGAGAGUUUCUUCCCCCGCUUUGGCCGUCAGAGGAGAGAGAAAAGAGACCAAAAGCCUCUUAGCAACACAGCCCCGUCUCCUUCUCCACUACUAUUGCUGCUGCUGCUGCUUUUUGGCCCUGGCUGGAGACACCUCACCACACACACAGAAGGAGCAGCCGCCAGUUCACCAGCUCCCCCCCAUCCCCCUACUCUCCCCUCCUCCCCCUUUAUUACCCUUUGUGUGUGUCUCUCUCUCCACUGCUCCAGGAAAGGAAAUAAAAGUGGGGUGCAGCCAAGUAUCAACCCUUUACCUCUUAAGGAAGCAGUUUCAAAAAAUUCAAUGAAGAGAAGAUGAUUGUUGGGAGCAGAAGAGAUCUGUUCAAGAACCUAAGUGUGAGGAGGAAGGAGCAAAAAUGAAAGUGAAGUUUUGGAUAUUUUUGUGAAUAUCUUGAGGUUUAUCGUAUUAUUCUUUCCCUAUUCCUAUGAUGGCAGCAGACUGUAAAAGAGACUAAGUUUGGGAAUAUUUUAAUGACGUUUCUCCACUGACAGGUAAGGUAUGGAUGCAUACAUGCAAAUUAUUUAGAAAACCAUGAUUUUAUUCUAGUCUUACUGACCAGGGAUUUAAAUAGUGAUUUAAAUCAAAUCCACCCUGAUCAAUAGUAGUGAUGUCUAUUACUGUGUUUUAAAUCGUGUAUCUCUUUGGGUCUGAAAGUCCAGUCAAAGGUACUUUACUAAUAAAGGCUGUUAGUUAAGUCACUGUCCUCCAUAACUCAUGCAUAUGGUUUUGGUGCAGUUAUGCUUCUGGUUUUUAAACCUGGCCCAAAGCAACAGGAAGAAAAUCAUGGCAUUGCCAUGAUUUUUUUUCAAAUCCCAAAUGUGCUGAACUUACGGAUUUAAUGCAAUGAAUUAAUAGAUAUUCUUACAACGUGGCACUUGCAUUGCACAGAUGCUGCAGGGCUCUCUCAUUUUCCCAGCAUUCAGUUCUGUAUAUUUCAUGUCUUCAUUUGCCUAGAGAAUGAGUUCAUGAUUAUAGAAUAUAUUUUUAUAAAUUUCACAAUAUCUUUAAGGUGUACACUGUGACCUAGUUCUGAAUAACUAGUUAAUCCACAGCUUGUUAACUAUAUGGUGUUUGUUAAGCAUUUUGUUUAACAACCCAGCCACAUACCUGGUUGUUCACUGUGACAUAUGAAGCUGGCAUUGUGGGUGUUGAGAGGGAAACAACCGAGAGUUUUAACCUAGAAUUCCAGUUUCAGAUGUCAUGGAAAACAAUUUAGGAGUGUUGUGUUCCAGGAUUUCCCAGCAAACCAGAAUUGAGUGUUUGGUGGCUAACAUGCUAGCUUACUCCUAAGCAUUCACAAACAACCUGUGAAGAUGGGGCCAACUUUUGAACAAUGCAGCAUUCUCAGCCAGAGAGUUCAGAUUUGGAAUGAGAGAUAAAUGGAAUAGAAGGGGAGAAAGAAUUGGCAGGCAAGAUUAGUCAGGCAGUAACUGAGAACCAAACCAUCUUGAAGCAUGAAGGUGACACUGUAGAACAAGGAAGGGGAAGAGAACGAAUUCUGAGACCCAGGAAAGCAGUGCCCGCCCAAAUGGAUGGACCAGUUUUAUAACGUCAUAUGCUCCUACCGUUAAACAGACAUGCAGUGUAAACCAUCCUGAGGGUGGUGUCAAGAUCUCAUGAAAAGGGAGGACAGGGGCAUUUCUGUUUCGAAACAACUCUUCACAUGGGCGAAGCUAGUUUUAUACAUUAGAGGGGUCAUUAUUUUGAUUUAUCUAACUUGUUAACAGUUUUCAUGGAAAAUACUCAAAUGCAGCAGAACUUGUUAAGCUAUAACAAAUGACUGUAUCUUAUAAGCUUUUUGGUUUAAUCUGCCAGAUAAGAAAAAGUGGGAGAAUGUGUUCACAACACAACCUAUGGGCUGUUAAGUGGUAUACAUGUAUAUACAAAACCUAUAAUUUUGUAAAUCCUACAAAACUUUUGGUGAGUAACUGAACUGUUACUAUUUUGUGGUGUUUUAUUUAACCCUUAAAUCCAGUGGCUGAGUUCACACCAGAUGAUAAUGCACAGUCAAGGUUGGAUAUGGGUUACUGUUGAAACGUUGGCUGUUGUUCAGACAUAGGAUAUUAUGUUGUAUGAAUGUAGCCACUGUAAUUAAACAUAGUUUGUUAAACAUGAGCAACCAGUGAAGAGUACCCAUAGUUUAUUACUGGGUUUUAACAAACCAUGCUUUGUUGUUUUGGCCUGGUUCACAAAUAGAGCAAGUGAUGGUUCAACAUACUCAUUAAACUCAUAUUGAACCUUGAGUGUGAGUUAGCAUGUUGUACAAACUUAGUCUGAGUGUAUAACAUCAACAUAUACCUGGUACCUUCAAUACAGCAAAAAUAAAAGAUGAAUGGCAGGCCUAUAUGCAAAAUGUCAUGCAUAGCAAAUGCAUCUUGGUAUUAAUUUUAUUUAAUUUUGCUUUGCAAUUCUUUGUGCUAACAAUCUCAUACAAUGGUAGUUCCAGGGUUUUGAGGGCCCUAGGGCAAUGAUGUUAGUUUUACAGAAAAUUUUGAACUAUAACUUUCUUAUGCAAAUUAAGAUAACUUUCACAGAGCUAUUUGAAUGAGAAAUUUUUCAGUUUGCAUUAUAAAAUUUUUUGUCUAAAUUAUAGUGAUCUAAUUUAGAAUGUUUAUUUUACUUAUAUCUAGUAAAUAACAAAACUAAAAAUUAUCCUAUGGCAAUGUUUGUCUUAAUAUAUCAUAAGUUUUUGAACUGAAAAUGUUUAAAGAAAUAAUUACAACAUGCUUAAUAUGAUCUAAUUAUGAUAUUAUUUCAACAUUUUCAUUGUAAAGCUUGUAAUCAUUUAGACCAGGGUUUUCAACCUUUCCACAGCUGGGAACCAGCGAAAACAGGAAAACCACCUGAGGCAGAAACAAAAGGCACCAUAAACAUAAUACAGUAUUCUGUGUACUAGUUUCCAAACACAAUACCAAAAAGAGAAAAAAAAAGAUAUUUCUCCAAAACAACCAGAAACUGAGUAACACAAAAUGCCAACAAAAGAACAAAAUACUGAAAUUGGUGUAGCGUAGCUUGCAGCCAACUCCCAUUGAGCCAUCUCUCCUCUCCCUAGCCCUGCUGGAGGCGCCAGCACACCCACUGCGAACAUGAUGCCGACCAAGGGAGAGGUGGUAGAGCACAACCAGCCCCCACAUCAGUCCGCUGUGAGUGGGAUGCAGCCCUCCCAUGGACUGUCAUGAAAUCUUCCACAGAUCAGCACCAGUUCACAGACUGGGGGUUGAAAACCAUUGAUUUAGACACUAGCAUGUAUUUAUCUUACCUUGUUUAAAUAUAAGAAAAAAUAAAAGGAGAUGUACGGAAAACUGGGUUUCACUCUGAAACAUAGAUGUAUUUCAACUUCCUAUAUGAAUCCUCUCAGAUAGAUUAACUAAAAUAAUUUAUUAUUUUGAAAUCACCAAGCUUGCCUAAUAUUGUAUUUGGAAUUGGUAGCCAUUCAUUGUUGCUAUUAAUUAACUUAUGAAAUUGAAAAAAAAAUCUGCCUAAGUAAGUGUCUACAUUCUCAGUGCUCUCCUCUCCUAAUGCACCUGUCUACUGAUACUACUGUACAGCUUUUUUAUGAAUUAAUGCUUUAGAAUAGUAAAUUGUUUAAAAGCAUCAGAAAGUUGAUAUUAACACCGCACAACAAUGGAAAACACAUUUCAGCUUUUCUCCAAAGAUAUAGAUUGCCAUUAUACCAUUUGACUGUAGCAAACAAUAAUUUCUUCAGGAGAUGCUUGACAAAUCAACUAUAGGGUAGGGCUUUGAAAUCUCAAAACAUCAUCUCAUGCUUUACCUGGUCCUGCAAAGCAAAUGGAACCACGAGGAAGUAUGUGACUUCUUGUGGACUCCCGGUUAUGCAACCCACAAGAAACUUUCACUGGCUACCAUUCCAAGUGUCCAGCCUUUUCCUCUGAUCAGUACUGCCACCAACGUGGGUGCAUAGUGAAAAUGGACACAGUGAGCAGGUAAACCAGCUGCCAUUCCUGGUGGCCAACCAUCUUCCUAACACACUGGUGCUGGCUUGAUUGCUGCUGAGCACCACAUGAACUUUGGGUAUUCUCACCAGACUGCGUCUCUGCAAAGUGGGUAGGAGUCUGUGAAGCCAAAACGAAGAAAUCUGGCAGAUUUUCAGCACAAGAUGGAUUCUGUGCACAUCCCUAGUCAGCUAUUCAGGUUAUCUUGCAUUUUAUUGGUAUAUGUGGGCAAGUGGUUAGGGAAUAUAAGUGGUUUGUUAAUUGCUCAGUAAUCCUAUUGUGAUAACAAAUGACCUGAGGUGGGAGGAAUUUUACAUGCAUAACAAAUUGUGGCAUCCCUUGUUAUUGAUCUGUAAACAGAGCAUCUUCUUGAAGAAUGAAUACAUGAACAUGGUCUAAUUUCUAGAUGUCAUUGGAACAUAGAUUGACAACACUGGGUAUCUCCCAGUAUAAAUCAACUCUAAAAUUUUUUGAUUUCCAUAAUGUACAAGAACUUGGAAUUUCAGAAUAAUGUUCUAAAAUUCAUCCUGCAAUUCAUAUGGAUUGUUUUUAAAAGACUAAGAAUAUUGGAAGUGAUGACAAGUAGAGGGUACACAUUUAAAUCCAAGUAAUAUUCAAAUCUACCUUUUUAACCCAGUUAAUUUUCUAAUGACUCGGCUCUUUAAGUCUCUCUUUUUUUAAACUUAGAGUAAAAUUAUAACUUCAUCCUUAGAGUUUUUAUUCUUAAGUAGUGAAAAAUAGGUGACAAAGCUAGAGCAGCUGUCAAAAUCUGUGCAACAAUUCUUGCCGAGUAAAAUGGGCAUAGUAGUAGAAUUUAGGUAAAGUGUUUGUAUUAAGGUUGUUGCAUGUUAUUAAAUCAUACAACACAGUGUGGGCGAGAAAAUAAAAGGUAUAGUAUACAUAUUCAGAUUAAAUUAACAAAUGUCAAAA
Molecule: long non-coding RNA, 5206 nt
Organism: Varanus komodoensis (Komodo dragon)
Lineage: Eukaryota; Metazoa; Chordata; Lepidosauria; Squamata; Varanidae
Exons: 2
Source: RefSeq, a predicted model, not a curated record